UACGUAGGGGGCAAGCGUUGUCCGGAAUCAUUGGGCGUAAAGCGCGUGUAGGCGGCUUGGUAAGUCUGGUGUGAAACCUCGGGGCUCAACCCCGAGCCUGCACUGGAUACUGCCUCGCUCGAGUCCGGGAGGGGAGAGCGGAAUUCCUAGUGUAGCGGUGAAAUGCGCAGAUAUUAGGAAGAACACCGAUGGCGAAGGCAGCCCCCUGGGUUAACACUGACGCUCAGGCACGAAAGCGUGGGGAGCAAACAGG
This 253-nucleotide ribosomal RNA is filed under the name uncultured bacterium. Its description in RNAcentral is "partial 16S ribosomal RNA". It matches the Rfam family "Bacterial small subunit ribosomal RNA", at positions 524 to 776 of the family's 1533-position model. The record is from RNAcentral.